UGACGCUAGAAAGAGACAAUUCUCAAGUCUGCUUUUUUUAAAAACCUAAAUCAUGUACUUGCCAAAUUUAGCAUUGAGAUGGUAGUGCCUGGGACAUAGAGCCUAAGCUCAGCUUAGGGGGACCAGAGACACCAUAAAGAAUAAAUACCUGACUACAGAGAGCUGGAUUUCUGGAGGAGAUGACAAUUAAUAUACAUAAAAUCAUGUCACAGAGCGCAACAAAUAUACGUGUCAGGAUAGCAAGCAGCCUACUUCUUGCCUCUUGCCAAAGAUGACACAUUAGAGGACAUCUCACCAAAA
Molecule: long non-coding RNA, 300 nt
Filed under: Anser brachyrhynchus (Pink-footed goose)
Lineage: Eukaryota; Metazoa; Chordata; Aves; Anseriformes; Anatidae
Description: lncRNA (ENSABRG00000000301.1)
Source: RNAcentral